Portunus trituberculatus (swimming crab) is the source of this 171-nucleotide long non-coding RNA. RefSeq lists it as uncharacterized. The record is from RefSeq and is a predicted model, not a curated record. The transcript has 2 exons. NCBI's taxonomy places the organism in Eukaryota, Metazoa, Arthropoda, Malacostraca, Decapoda, Portunidae.
CCUCCAUUAACAUCUUUCUGCCACCAGCUACUACUCCUCCCUUUCCAUUGUACUAAACUGAACACUGAAUAAGUAAAACUUUACACACACACACACACACACACACACACACACACACACACACACACACACACACACACACACACACACACACACACACACACACACACA